CCCUUAGAUGUUCUGGGCCGCACGCGCGCUACACUGUUCGACGCAGCGAGUCUUAACCUUGACCGAAAGGUUUGGGUAAUCUUCAGCAAAGUUGAACGUGAUGGGGAUCGAUCAUUGCAAUUAUUGAUCGUGAACGAGGAAUUCCUAGUAAGUGCAAGUCAUCAGCUUGCGCUGAUUACGUCCCUGCCCUUUGUACACACCGCCCGUCGCUACUACCGAUUGAAUGGUUUAGUGAGAUCUCUGGAUUGACGCUGGCUAGGGGGCGACCCUUGGCCAGACUGUUGAGAAACUGCUCAAACUUGAUCAUUUAGAGGAAGUAAAAGUCGUAACA
RNAcentral lists this ribosomal RNA (331 nucleotides) under uncultured eukaryote. RNAcentral describes it as "partial 18S ribosomal RNA". It matches the Rfam family "Eukaryotic small subunit ribosomal RNA", at positions 1470 to 1796 of the family's 1831-position model. The record is from RNAcentral.